RNAcentral lists this signal recognition particle RNA (257 nucleotides) under Macaca fascicularis (crab-eating macaque). RNAcentral describes it as "Metazoan signal recognition particle RNA (ENSMFAG00000048346.1)". It matches the Rfam family "Metazoan signal recognition particle RNA". Rfam says of the family: The signal recognition particle (SRP) is a universally conserved ribonucleoprotein. It is involved in the co-translational targeting of proteins to membranes. The record is from Rfam by way of RNAcentral. Lineage: Eukaryota; Metazoa; Chordata; Mammalia; Primates; Cercopithecidae.
GCCGGGCGUGGUGGCUCACGCCUGUAAUCCCAGCACUUUGGGAGGCCAAGGUGGGAGGAUGGCUUGAGCCCAGGAGUUCAAGACCAGCAUGGGCAACAUAGUGAGACCCUGUCUCAAAAUAAAUAAAUAAAUAAAUAAAUAAAUAAUUUUUUUUAAAAAAAAGAAAAGUAGUUUUUUUCUUGUUGUUAAGAGAUAGGGUCUCGCUAUGUUGCCCAGGCUGGCCUUGAACUCCUGGGCUCAAGUGAUCCUCCCACCUC